CGAAAUGCAAUAAAAACACCCGGGAUAACGAGAAGCCAUCCCUCUCCCUUAAGUCUUUCAACCCCAACUUGCCGCCGCUUCGAUCUUGCCCUCCCUGCAAACCCUACCAAAAAUCUUUCAACACCGCCGUUGACGGCGGCUCCGAUACCUCAAUAUCCUCUCCGUUACCCCAUUCCUUCUCGCAACAACUGCGAAUUCCAGAAAUGGCGUCAGGCACGGCUACUUCUGACGUCACUGAUGGACCAGUGCUCACUCUUAUCAACAAACGCAUCCGUAACCUAAGGAAAAAGCUCAACCGAAUCGCGCAGCUCGAAGAU
RNAcentral lists this long non-coding RNA (317 nucleotides) under Lactuca sativa (garden lettuce). Its description in RNAcentral is "long non-coding RNA (LSAT_LNC009017)". Lineage: Eukaryota; Viridiplantae; Streptophyta; Magnoliopsida; Asterales; Asteraceae. The record is from RNAcentral.